GUCUAUCUUCGGGGCAGGGUGAAAAUCCCGACCGGCGGUAAUGAAUGAGUAUAUGAAUAUGUGAGUUCUAAGCCCGCGAGCCGUUAAGGCAGGAUUUGGUGCGAUUCCAAAGCCGACAGUACAGUCUGGAUGGGAGAAGAUGGAG
This 145-nucleotide non-coding RNA is filed under the name Bacillus cereus. RNAcentral's name for it is "FMN sequence". It matches the Rfam family "FMN riboswitch aptamer (RFN element)". Rfam says of the family: The RFN element is a highly conserved domain that is found frequently in the 5'-untranslated regions of prokaryotic mRNAs that encode for flavin mononucleotide (FMN) biosynthesis and transport proteins. Lineage: Bacteria; Bacillati; Bacillota; Bacilli; Caryophanales; Bacillaceae. The record is from RNAcentral. RNAcentral also lists the same sequence under 1 other name.